Molecule: unclassified non-coding RNA, 240 nt
Filed under: soil metagenome
Description: partial contains 5.8S ribosomal RNA, internal transcribed spacer 2, and large subunit ribosomal RNA
Source: RNAcentral
AACGGUCUAUACCUGCGGUACCUGCGGAAGGAUCAUUACCGAGUUAGGGUCUUCUUAGGCCCGACCUCCCAACCCUGUGUUUAUUGAACCGAUGUUGCUUCGGCGGGCCCGUCUUACGACCGCCGGAGGACCGUAAGAGGUCCUCUGGCCCGCGCCCGCCGGUGGCCAUAACUUACAAACUCUGGUUAAAGCGUGUCACUGUCUGAGUACUAUUUUUAAUUAACGCAAAACUUUCAACAA